AACCGGAUCUAUUUCUCUUUUUCUGUCUAUCUCUCUCGGAGCGACAGAAAAAAUUGUGCAAACGGGAAAAAAACAGAAGACCAGAAGCGAAGACGAGGCGGAAAUGACGGGUUUUUGUCUCCCAGCUUGCUUGCUGCCUGUCAAUGUCUCUCAAUGACUGUCGCAAUCGUUCCGGCUUUGUGUAUAUGUUCCAGCGACGAACGUGCCCAGCGUCGCGAUCGGUGAUGAACGAUGGAUCACCGUUCGCGCGGUCGCCGAACAGGAUGGAGACGUCGAACAGCUCUAAAAAUACCCGUGCUACAAAUCAAGCGGCCUCCACGAGUCUUCGCAGCGUCGGCUGCUGCCAUAGCAGUGGCUAUGACGGCACAUCCCGUUAAAGAACAGAGCCAUCACUUGCUGCUGAGCAACAGAAAAGGACUGACUGGCUGCGGGUCGCGCGCAGGGGUUGCUGCAGGCCAAGCCCGAGCUUCAAGCGUACGUCUUAAGUGGCUGAGGCAGCGGCGGCCAUCGUAUGGUUGUGAGACGGUGAUGAUGAUGGUAAAAAGUUUUCGUGUUGAUUUCGACAUUGAUGUAAAUGCAGGCACAAAAGUGUUGAUGUCUGUGUGGUUAUGACGAUGUUCGAGAACCUGCAGAUGUUUUGAUGAUGGUUGACGCGAGACUUAAAGUUGAACGCCAGCCCGCCUCCCGCUGGCCAGUUGCGUCAGGUAAUUUGCGGGUAAUGGUAUCCUAAAAUGUUGUUUUUAGCUUGUUAAGAUAUCCAUGGUGGUAUUGAUGAAAGAGACUUCUUCUACUUCUGGUGCUCAUUGGAUACGGGUGUAUGCCAUAAAGUAAAAGCAUACUGAAGCCACGCGGACCGCUCAGUUGCAACUUAAAGGAAAUAACGAGGCAAUAGCAUAUAUCUUCUUGUAACGGCACGAAGGUAUCAGUUUGUAUAUGCAUGUGCUAGAUAUAAGACUGAAUCGUUUUACUGGUACAUACACACUUCGGAACGUGACAUAACGUUUAAGCGUCACAACGAAAAUACAAAGAAAUAGCUGUAACAGAUUGAAGUUAGUUAUUAUCGAAGAGUCUGUCGAGAGCUGUAGGACAAGAACGGAACGUCGGAAGAACGGAAAAAAAUAAUCAUAAUACAAGCUUGGCAGUGGAUUACAGAGCAGCGGCCAUACCAUUAUGUUUGAGCAUCCCUCGAGGGAACAAAUUAUGUCGUAUCAACCUCAAAGUGGAGCUGAAUAAUGCUUGUGCUGUUACACCAGUGAUUACACUGCGCCUUCCAAGCCGGAAGAUAGUCGUUCGGGCUGUGCAGGCCGCCUCCGCCUCCUCCUCCUCUUUAGGGGAGCAUGUGUACAUCGCUACAAAUCAUCCAUUGUGGAUAUAUACAUUCCUUCAUUAGAAGUGGCCUUCGACUCGAACGUUGGCAACGUUACUCAUCCCGUAGUAGCUACGGUACAAUUUUAAAUGGGUCCAGACGAUACCGAAAUACGUUUCGAUGACAAACUUUUGUCGGACAAGUGACAACAAUGAGCGAAUGCAGGAAUACAAAGUCUGAUUUUCGUAUUUAGGUAAAGUUAGGUUUGUCGCUUUUCCUGUAACGGCAGUACGAAAAAACCUUGUCGAUCAUGCUGAUUUCUCGAUGGGAGGAGAGUACGAGCGUCGAGACUAUCAGCGUAACAGCGACUAGUAGUGCCAUUAUGAUGCGGUCUCUGAGUUUGUACUGAGCACUCUAAAUUUCUACCUAUCGUUCAUUCGUCCUUAAAUUGUGCUUCAGUACAAAACUAGCCGAUUUUCCGCUACGUCAAGGCUGUUCCGUACUUUAAAGAUAAACCUCAAUUUGUCGAGAGCUAUUAUAUUAUAGCCACGAAUGACAGCUUUGGUCAAUUUGUACAAGUGUUGAAUCAUUGAAGUGUACAGCUUUCUGCUCUUUACUGGCUUACCGGAAGGCUAUUGCAACGAGUGUUCGAAAUUGUCUCUUGGACUUUAUGGAAAUAAACACAAAUUUAUAUAUAUAUAUUAGUCAAAGGUCAGUCAUCUGUGUUCGCCCGUUGACUUGCUUUCGAUUAUUAGUUUAGUAUAAAAAAAUAUGGCAAUAUCUAACGCACAGUUUCGCCUUGAUUUACCUUCGUACUCGUACGUUCAGGCUUGAAUUGACAGAAAUUCAACUAUGAGAUAACUACAGAUUUACUUGCCGUUCGGACGCAAACUAAAAUUUGUGUAAUCUGUUACGUGAGAUUGCUGGGUAUAUACAACUGAAGUUGGAAAAUCGACAAGCUUCGACAAGGACGAUGACAUUUUGACCGAUCAAAAACCGAUGGAAUCUUGUGUGAUUAACAGGCUGGCAAGCAGGAAAAGUACGCAUCAAAUCUUCUUAAACACCGCUCGCGUCUACAUGUUAUAAAGGCAGGAUUAAGGGAGCUAAUUUCAGAUGCGGUGGUCGAUGUAUCCGAUACAAUAUCAACCAUUCUUCGUUGGAGUACUUCGCCAGUCGAACAGUCGGUAGCCCAGACGAUGGCGCACGCUUCCCUGAUGGCCCUUCUUACUGUAUAAUAUAAUAUUCUAGUUUCUGCAAUCAAGUUCGAAAUUUUUUCAUC
RNAcentral lists this long non-coding RNA (2585 nucleotides) under Varroa destructor (honeybee mite). RNAcentral's name for it is "uncharacterized LOC111243907, transcript variant X3". Lineage: Eukaryota; Metazoa; Arthropoda; Arachnida; Mesostigmata; Varroidae. The record is from RNAcentral.